AGAACACAAGCGGAAUGUUACGAUGCGGAAAGUGUCUGGCCUAUUUUUUUCCAAUAUGUCACUUCGGCAUAAUUUUCCCAUUAGUUAUUCACGUCCUUUGUGUAAUCCGAAUUUGCCAGUAUAUCGACUCACGCUGGAAAAAAUAAGAGCAACAUAUAGUUUUCAAAUUCAUUUUCUUAAUCAGGUUAAUGACUAACUUAAUUUAAGUUCCUAAUCUGGAUUUGUUUAAGGCAGUUGAGUUGUGCGAUACGCUACGGAAGCAAGAAUAUAACAAGCUCUGCCUACAUACUGGUUUCCUAAAUGUGCCCACAGCUUUAUUUAAAUGUUUGCCGCCAGAAUGGAGUUUUCCGUUUUCAUAAGAGUUGAACUUUUCCAAACCAACAUUUUAUUUUUUAAAAAUCAGAGUAGAUUUCGUUAGAAGAAGCCAAAUUAUGCAUUUCUGGCAAGCCCCUCAAGAAAUUUGUUUUAAGCACCUUUGCUAAUCAUCAUGCAAGGAAAAGCCAAUUUAAGAUCAAGAAAAUUGUCUUGAAAUAUGAUAAGGUCGCUUCUUGUAACUAAUUUAAUUUUCUUUAAGAGCUAAAUUUAGGAAAGAAUUAUAUCAACCACAACAGA
Drosophila takahashii is the source of this 612-nucleotide non-coding RNA. The record is from RefSeq and is a predicted model, not a curated record. Lineage: Eukaryota; Metazoa; Arthropoda; Insecta; Diptera; Drosophilidae.